UAAAUACUAAAAAUAAAAUCACCAUUAAUUAAUAAUGCUACAAAAAUCAGUAGUAAAAGAUAUAUCACGUUCGAACGAAAUCAUGUAAUCAGUCCAUAUAUUUAACUUUAUAGAUGCGAUAUCGCAUUAAUUACGAUUCAGAUCGUCACUAUCAGAAUCAUAACAUCAUUCUCAUUCGCCUCAUAGAAACCAGUCAGAAUCGCGGCGUAUCUUCUAAAUUUACGAGUUGUAUCUGGAAGCUACGUUUCAUUCGAAUUUUCAUACAUGUCGUUCAAACGUCUCUCCCCCUGCUUUCUUUCCCUUUCGUUCCUUUAUAUAGACACUAUAUAUCUCUAUAUAUUUUCUUUGCUUUCCUUUUUUUUUUUUUACUAGGCAAACCAUGACAUCGCGAUAUCUCUCGACGGGCAAUAGACGACCGACGCGAACGUUACGAACGCCCUUCGGAACUUUUUCCAGUGCACGCGUAUUGGACGCGGAUAAACUAGAAAAUAUUAUCCCGCCGUUAUAUCGUUGUGCCUUUAUCAUGUCGCGUUUCUCUUCGGUGAAUCAGCGCUCUGUAAUGAACACCAGAUACAUACAUCGUGCUACAUACUGCUGGCUUCGUCUGAUUCCUCAUAACUCAAGACGAGCAGCAUCGUCGUAUGCUGCGUAUUCGCUUGUUCCUGCGGCUCGUUGAUUCAACGACGUCGUUUCCUUUCGUUUGUUCGUGCGUGAAAUUGCAACGAGAGAUAGUUUAACAGUGAAAAACAUGAAAAAAUGACGGGUUUCAGAAUCUUUUGCUACUACAAUUAGUAGAAACACAUAAUAGUAUAAGAAACUCGAAGAAAAUGAUGGAUCGUGGCACUCGGUUAAAUGGAGAACACUCCUGCGGUCGCAGGAAGGGUGUAUCAUAAUUUAAGACCUGUUCGCGGCGGUGAUGCUGGUUCGCUGAGUAGGUGUUACGAUUGAUGGUUGUUGGGAGUUUGAACAUGUUUUCUACGAUGAAGUUUUGUGGUUAACACCAGGUCUGGAAGAAUCAUUCCGAGAAUUUACGGUGAGCUUGUUGCCAAAACCACUGGUGUAAAGAAAGGGAACUCGCAGACAUAAAGGAGACGGAGACUUGCGACGAUAAUGGCCCUCUCAGACGAAGAAGUUAAUUUGGGAAAGAGGAUUCCGUCGCGGACAAAACGCUUGUAAUCCUUAACAAAGGGUGGUCUCAACUUCCCUAGUCUGUGUUGUCCCGAGGAUGGUAAUCUGCAAAGAGGGAGAACGGUCCCUCCAAGUUGAUUCUUCGUUGCUCGUGUUUGACAGUGAGGGAGGUCUGUUAUCGACGGACAACGUUUUAAGAAUCCUUGUUUGAUUGGAAUCAAAGGUGUCAAUAUAUGCAUUGCUUUUUGAUAGUAAUAUUGAUUUAGAGAGGAAGAAAUGAACUUUAUUGUGAAAAUAAAUUUCCCUUUUAUCGUAUAGAACAAUGUGUUUAUAUCUCUAUACUGUUCAAGAUAAUUAAAGGAUCAUUCUCUAUGAUUUUUAUAUUUAUUACUUGUAAAUUUAUUAGUAUGUAUGCUUUAACUAUAAUAUUUAUUAUGAUUCAUCCUCUUGUAUUUAAUUUCUCAUGGUUUUUAGUUUUUAUAUUUAUAAAGCAUACGAUCAAGCCUUGAAAUGAAAAUGUAUUACACGUGUCAUAGGUAUACUACAUUUAUAAUAAAUAAUUCCCCUUUCUUUCUGCUCUCCUCGAAACAAAUGUUUAUGCGUUGCUUAAGCUGCUCGUAUGGUUUGUUCAUUUUUAAUAAUUAUUACGUUACAUAAGUGAAAAAUCUCUACGUAAAUGGAGCAACUCUUAAAAUGCUAACAAAUGCAUUUAUGUAUUUUUUCAUAUCAUGAAUAUUAUGAACAUUUAUGGUGAUAAUUUUAAAAUUUGUUUCGAGUAUGGAAAUAAACGUGUACGUGUAGGUGUAUAUUCAUGUUAUAACGUUAAUAAAGAUGUACGCGAACGAACAGAGA
Molecule: RNA transcript, 1980 nt
Organism: Bombus impatiens (common eastern bumble bee)
Lineage: Eukaryota; Metazoa; Arthropoda; Insecta; Hymenoptera; Apidae
Exons: 3
Source: RefSeq, a predicted model, not a curated record